RNAcentral lists this transfer RNA (50 nucleotides) under Psittacula eupatria (Alexandrine parakeet). RNAcentral's name for it is "tRNA-Glu". The record is from RNAcentral. Lineage: Eukaryota; Metazoa; Chordata; Aves; Psittaciformes; Psittacidae.
AACGAUGGUUUUUCAGGCCAUAGAUCUUGGGUUGUUCCAAGUGAGAACUC